UUUAACAAAAACAUCGCCUCCAGGAACUUAUAUAUUGGAGGUACUGCCUGCCCAGUGACUCUGUUUAACGGCCGCGGUAUUCUGACCGUGCAAAGGUAGCAUAAUCACUUGUCCUUUAAAUAGGGACUAGUAUGAAUGGCAAAACGAAAAUUUAACUGUCUCCUUUAUUGAGUCAAUAAAACUGAUCUUUUCGUACAAAAGCGAAAAUAUUAAUAUAAGACGAGAAGACCCUAUGGAGCUUUAAACACGUCAUCAACUGUAAAUUAAAACUACACCCAUGAUUGACUGUUUUCGGUUGGGGCGACCACGGAGAAAAUAAAACCUCCGAAUUAAAUGCUUAGAACACACACCAACGCGCUAGGAUAUCUAAAUUUAUUGACCCAAUAAACUUGAUCAACGAACCAAGUUACCCUAGGGAUAACAGCGCAAUCUUAUCUGAGAGUCCCUAUCGAAGAGAAGGUUUACGACCUCGAUGUUGGAUCAGGAUAUCCAAGUAGUGCAACCGCUACUAACGGUUUGUUUGUUCAACAAAUAAAAUCCUACGUGAUCUGAGUUCAGACCGGC
Molecule: ribosomal RNA, 564 nt
Filed under: Boulengerula cf. boulengeri BMNH 2005.1359
Lineage: Eukaryota; Metazoa; Chordata; Amphibia; Gymnophiona; Herpelidae
Description: partial 16S ribosomal RNA
Rfam family: Bacterial large subunit ribosomal RNA
Source: RNAcentral